RNAcentral lists this ribosomal RNA (492 nucleotides) under uncultured bacterium. Its description in RNAcentral is "partial 16S ribosomal RNA". It matches the Rfam family "Bacterial small subunit ribosomal RNA", at positions 29 to 507 of the family's 1533-position model. The record is from RNAcentral.
AGUGAACGCUGGCGGUAGGCCUAACACAUGCAAGUCGAACGGCGGCACAGUAAGAGCUUGCUCUUACGGGUGGCGAGUGGCGGACGGGUGAGGAAUACAUCGGAAUCUACUUUUUCGUGGGGGAUAACGUAGGGAAACUUACGCUAAUACCGCAUACGACCUACGGGUGAAAGCAGGGGAUCUUCGGACCUUGCGCGAUUGAAUGAGCCGAUGUCGGAUUAGCUAGUUGGCGGGGUAAAGGCCCACCAAGGCGACGAUCCGUAGCUGGUCUGAGAGGAUGAUCAGCCACACUGGAACUGAGACACGGUCCAGACUCCUACGGGAGGCAGCAGUGGGGAAUAUUGGACAAUGGGCGCAAGCCUGAUCCAGCCAUAUCGCGUGGGUGAAGAAGGCCUUCGGGUUGUAAAGCCCUUUUGUUGGGAAAGAAAAGCAGCAGGUUAAUACCCCGCUGUUCUGACGGUACCCAAAGAAUAAGCACCGGCUAACUUCGUG